AUGGUUAUUAUGUGCACAGUAUGUUUAUCAGAUGCAGCCAGAUGGUUCAACCACGGUGUACGGAGAGAGCGUGGUCAUUCCUACGUUCCUGCAAUGAUGCAGAGCAAACGAGCGGAGCCCCAAGACAGUAGGAGCACUCAGUUAAGAGUUACAGGACAGAAAAGCCUGCAAGAAAAUAGCACUAAUGAAGAGCCCCCAGAUGAGAAGAUUGCUCCAUUGAGUGUAUGUAUAUUUCUCUUACCGACUUUGAAUAUACUUAAAGCAGAGACCAAGGGUAACUGAUGUGCCUCCAGAUUAAAGUGUAAUUAAUGAUUUUGUUCAAUAGAGACUACAUAGCUUCCUAGCGUUUUUGUAAACAUUCGUGUUUUCUCCUUAGACAGGGCCUUGAAUACUAAUUCUGGUGGAUUCAUAGCCAUAUUUUUCUUUGUUUUUAAUUUCCCUUGACAAAAAUUUGAGAAAUGCCCAUUACUCACUAAUUUUCUAUGAAACAGGUAUAUGUAAGUUUUUCUCAGUAACCCCCUUACAUUUAGUAGCACUUAAACCAUUUUAAAGCCAUUUUCAUUCAUUUGAAUUUCCAUUAACAACUAGAAACAGUGUUCAUUACCAUUAGAAUAUUAUAUAACUUCUUGAUCUACUAUAUUUAAUAUGGGGAUUCUGUACAAUAUUUUAAAGAUACAUAGCAGUAAUUUGGAGAAACUCAGAUUUUAAAAUUGCUUGUGACUCAUCUACCAUUAGCAUUAAAUAGUCAUGUUCCAGAGCUUUAGAUUACAUAUCUCUCUAAAAUAUGUGUUUUGGGGGUGGGCCAUUUCAACAAAAGGCAUUUUUUUUUAAAGGCUUUAUCCUAGAUUUUAACAGUGUUAAGUGUUCCUUGUAGAUGUUUCAGAUAAUGCAAAAAAAAAGUGUUUAAAAAGUUUCUUCUAAUUUUUAUGUAUUUCUUUACAUUCCUUUUUUCUGUACCUUUUUUUCAGUUUAGAAGUUGUUAUUGUAUAUUUCUCUAACAUUAAAUGGUCUUCAAAAAUAUGAUUUCUAGUGUCUAAAUAGUGCUUUGUCUUAUAGAUAGAUAUACUGUAAUUUAUAUAACUAUUUUCCUGUGGUUGGAGGAUUGAGAUUGUUUCCCAGACUUUGCCAUUUUAGGUAUCAGUGGACAUUGUACCACGGAAGUUUUUU
Molecule: long non-coding RNA, 1167 nt
Filed under: Ursus thibetanus thibetanus
Lineage: Eukaryota; Metazoa; Chordata; Mammalia; Carnivora; Ursidae
Description: lncRNA (ENSUTTG00000013199.1)
Source: RNAcentral